GCCUUUGUAGUGCAAGGGUCAGCACACUCGAUGGGUAAUCGAGAGGUCCAAGGUUCGAGUCCCGGCGAGAGCA
RNAcentral lists this transfer RNA (73 nucleotides) under Stegodyphus mimosarum. It matches the Rfam family "tRNA". Rfam says of the family: Transfer RNA (tRNA) molecules are approximately 80 nucleotides in length. Lineage: Eukaryota; Metazoa; Arthropoda; Arachnida; Araneae; Eresidae. The record is from Rfam by way of RNAcentral.